CUACUUAUGCCGGCGACCGGCGGACGGGGCGUAACGCGUAUGUAACCUACCUUUGACAGGGGGAUAACAUCGAGAAAUUGGUACUAAUACCCCAUAACAUCACCGGAGGCAUCUUCGGUGGUUGAAAACUCAGGUGGUCAGAGACGGACAUGCGUUGUAUUAGCUAGUUGGUGAGGUAACGGCUCACCAAGGCGACGAUACAUAGGGGGACUGAGAGGUUAACCCCCCACAUUGGGACUGAGACACGGCCCAGACUCCUACGGAAGGCAGCAG
RNAcentral lists this ribosomal RNA (273 nucleotides) under uncultured bacterium. Its description in RNAcentral is "partial 16S ribosomal RNA". It matches the Rfam family "Bacterial small subunit ribosomal RNA", at positions 79 to 354 of the family's 1533-position model. The record is from RNAcentral.